GAUGAACGCUGGCGGCGUGCCUAAUACAUGCAAGUCGAACGCACUAGCAAUAGUGAGUGGCGAACGGGUGAGUAACACGUGGGUAACUUACCUCAAAGACGAGGAUAACGACUGGAAACGGUCGCUAAAACUGGAUAGGAUUACUGGAGGCAUCUCUGGUAAUUUAAAGGGGCUUCACAGCUCUACUUUGAGAAAGGCCUGCGGCGCAUUAGCUAGUUGGUGGUGUAGAGGACUACCAAGGCGAUGAUGCGUAGCCGGACUGAGAGGUCGAACGGCCACAUUGGGACUGAGACACGGCCCAAACUCCUACGGGAGGCAGCAGUAGGGAAUUUUCGG
RNAcentral lists this ribosomal RNA (336 nucleotides) under uncultured bacterium. RNAcentral describes it as "bacterial SSU rRNA". It matches the Rfam family "Bacterial small subunit ribosomal RNA", at positions 28 to 368 of the family's 1533-position model. The record is from RNAcentral.